GGCGGCGUGCCUAACACAUGCAAGUCAAGGAGAAUUCCCGACUUGUCGGGAUAGUAAACUGGCGAACGGGUGAGUAACACGUAGGUAAUCUGCCUCGGGAUCGGGAUAACCUCGCGAAAGUGGGAUAAUACCGAAUAAAGUCUCGGUAUAAUUUGUCGAGAUGAAAGAUGGGGAUCUUCGGACCUAUUACCUGAGGAUGAGCCUGCGCCUGAUUAGCUAGUUGGUAGGGUAAAUGCCUACCAAGGCAACGAUCAGUAGCUGGUCUGAGAGGAUGAUCAGCCACAUUGGGACUGAGAUACGGCCCAGACUCCUACGGGAGGCAGCAGUGAGGAAUUUUGCGCAAUGGGCGAAAGCCUGACGCAGCAACGCCGCGUGACUGAUUAAGCUCUGAGGAGUGUAAAAGUCUGUCGUAGAGGAAGAAACUAUCCGAUAAGAAUAUUGUCGGAUACUGACGGUACUCUAUGAGAAAGCUCCGGCUAACUCCGUG
This 487-nucleotide ribosomal RNA is filed under the name uncultured bacterium. Its description in RNAcentral is "bacterial SSU rRNA". It matches the Rfam family "Bacterial small subunit ribosomal RNA", at positions 38 to 507 of the family's 1533-position model. The record is from RNAcentral.